UGGGGAAUAUUGCACAAUGGGGGAAACCCUGAUGCAGCGACGCCGCGUGAACGAAGAAGGUAUUCGUAUCGUAAAGUUCUGUCCUAUGGGAAGAUAAUGACAGUACCAUAGAAGAAAGCUCCGGCUAAAUACGUGCCAGCAGCCGCGGUAAUACGUAUGGAGCGAGCGUUGUCCGGAAUUAUUGGGCGUAAAGGGUACGCAGGCGGUUUAAUAAGUCGAAUGUUAAAGAUCGGGGCUCAACCCCGCAAAGCAUUGGAAACUGAUAAACUUGAGUAGUGGAGAGGGAAGUGGAAUUCCUAGUGUAGUGGUGAAAUACGUAGAUAUCAGGAGGAAUACCAGUAGCGAAGGCGACUUUCUGGACACAAACUGACGCUGAGGUACGAAAGCGUGGGGAGCAAACAGG
RNAcentral lists this ribosomal RNA (403 nucleotides) under bacterium. RNAcentral's name for it is "partial 16S ribosomal RNA". It matches the Rfam family "Bacterial small subunit ribosomal RNA", at positions 355 to 776 of the family's 1533-position model. The record is from RNAcentral.